ACUGGGGAAGAAGCUGCUGUAGAGGAGAAAAGUAGGGAAGACGGAAGGGCUGGCAUGCUUUCCACUCUCCAGCCCAGUGGUCACAGGGCCAAUGACCAAUGCAGAUAAAAAUACUCUUCAUUCAGUCUCAGCAGUGAACUCCCUCAGGGCCCAGGGGCAGCUUGCUGGCAAAGGGGCCCUUCUCUCCUCUGCCCCACAUCCAGCACUUUUGUGGCAUCAGAGAACUGCAGACCUUGGGGACAGGUUCUCCAUGACAAAUAAGAAUGCAGAUGUCACUCAAGCGUAUGAUACGAAAAUCUUUCCCGGAUCUGGGAGUAUCCAGAACUAACCACACAGGGGAACUGUUUUUUUUUCAAGGUAUUCCCUGGCCUCUUGGCCCUCUUCUUCCUUCCUCACCAGGACUCCAGGAUCCUCCUGUCUGGAAAAUAGUGUUCCACUCACCUACUUCAUGCCACGAUGUUAAUAUCUGUCUCUGCAGAAAGUCUGCUUUUAGAAAAGGUACCGAAAGUGGAGGUUAAUACACCUACAUGUGGA
Molecule: long non-coding RNA, 534 nt
Organism: Cebus imitator (Panamanian white-faced capuchin)
Lineage: Eukaryota; Metazoa; Chordata; Mammalia; Primates; Cebidae
Exons: 3
Source: RefSeq, a predicted model, not a curated record